Non-coding RNA from Ascaris suum (pig roundworm), 207 nucleotides. The record is from Rfam. NCBI's taxonomy places the organism in Eukaryota, Metazoa, Nematoda, Chromadorea, Rhabditida, Ascarididae.
GAAAUCAUACUUCACAGAAUCAUUUCUGUAGUAUGCAUUUCACCGUCUCUCUUCAAAGAGCGACAAAACGCAGCCGCGAUGAUCGAUUCGCGGCGCGAUCCUCAGAGCGUGAAGAAGCUCCCAUCUGCAACCCUGUAGAUGGCAGCUUGAUGACCGCCGAGAUUUCCUUACCGGGGAUCUCGAUGAGGGUUGCGCUUGCUGAGCGGU